This 303-nucleotide ribosomal RNA is filed under the name uncultured bacterium. RNAcentral's name for it is "partial 16S ribosomal RNA". It matches the Rfam family "Bacterial small subunit ribosomal RNA", at positions 507 to 807 of the family's 1533-position model. The record is from RNAcentral.
AGCAGUAGCCGCGGUAAUACGAAGGGUGCAAGCGUUACUCGGAAUUACUGGGCGUAAAGCGUGCGUAGGUGGUGGUUUAAGUCCGUUGUGAAAGCCCUGGGCUCAACCUGGGAAUUGCAGUGGAUACUGGGUCACUAGAGUGUGGUAGAGGAUAGUGGAAUUUCCGGUGUAGCAGUGAAAUGCGUAGAGACCGGAAGGAACAUCUGUGGCGAAGGCGACUAUCUGGGCCAACACUGACACUGAGGAGCGAAAGCGUGGGGAGCGAACAGGAUUAGAGACCCGUGUAGUCCCUGUCUCUUAUAC